AUGAUACCAGGUGAAAUAGUUCCCACAAACCAAAGCAGUGAUUAACUAGUCUUCCUGACUAGUCACUGCUCUCUUGUGUUUUUUGCUCCCAAUAUCUGCAUUGUUUUGAUCACUUCAUCUCAAGAGCCCUGGAUUCUGGCCCACGUAACCCGUCUGGUUCUUUCUCUUUAGCCAUAGGGAUGGAAGACUGGGGCUUCUGGUCCUGACAGGGGGCAGCUCAACCAGUGAAGAAUGGUCCAGGCAGCUGGUGUGACUAAGCCAUGCCUUGUAAGGAUGGGGCGGAGUGGCGUAGACUGUGAAGGCAUUGAGGAGUCUCUUAGCCGCACUUGAGGGAAGCCGUCACAGGAUGUGAGCAGAGCCAGGCUCAGGGGCAGCGUCUGAAAAGGGAGUCUGUUUGAGAAUCAAAGCCCACCGGGUCCACCCUCUGCACACGCACAUAGGACGAGGGUGCAUCAGACCCUGCCCACCGAAG
Molecule: long non-coding RNA, 472 nt
Filed under: Sinocyclocheilus anshuiensis
Lineage: Eukaryota; Metazoa; Chordata; Actinopteri; Cypriniformes; Cyprinidae
Description: lncRNA (ENSSANG00000016805.1)
Source: RNAcentral